Molecule: ribosomal RNA, 729 nt
Filed under: uncultured soil bacterium
Lineage: Bacteria
Description: bacterial SSU rRNA
Rfam family: Bacterial small subunit ribosomal RNA
Source: RNAcentral
UGGCGGCAUGCUUUACACAUGCAAGUCGAGCGGCAGCGCGGGGGCAACCCUGGCGGCGAGCGGCGAACGGGUGAGUAAUGCAUAGGAACGUGCCUGGUUGUGGGGGAUAACGCGUCGAAAGAUGUGCUAAUACCGCAUGAGAUCCAAGGAUGAAAGUGGGGGACCCGCAAGGGCCUCACGCGAUCAGAGCGGCCGAUGUCCGAUUAGCUAGUUGGUGGGGUAAAGGCCCACCAAGGCUACGAUCGGUAGCCGGUCUGAGAGGAUGAUCAGCCACACUGGGACUGAGACACGGCCCAGACUCCUACGGGAGGCAGCAGUGGGGAAUUUUGGACAAUGGGGGCAACCCUGAUCCAGCCAUGCCGCGUGAGUGAAGAAGGCCUUCGGGUUGUAAAGCUCUUUCGGUGGGAACGAAACGGGCGUGGUUAAUAACUGCGUUCACUGACGGUACUCACAGAAGAAGCACCGGCUAACUACGUGCCAGCAGCCGCGGUAAUACGUAGGGUGCAGGCGUUAAUCGGAAUUACUGGGCGUAAAGGGUGCGCAGGCGGUUUUGUAAGUCAGGCGUGAAAGCCCCGGGCUUAACCUGGGAAAUGCGUUUGAGACUGCAAGGCUAGAGUGUGUCAGAGGGGGGUGGAAUUCCACGUGUAGCAGUGAAAUGCGUAGAGAUGUGGAGGAACACCGAUGGCGAAGGCAGCCCCCUGGGAUAACACUGACGCUCGGGCACGAAAG